RNAcentral lists this ribosomal RNA (253 nucleotides) under uncultured Pelagibacterales bacterium. RNAcentral describes it as "partial 16S ribosomal RNA". It matches the Rfam family "Bacterial small subunit ribosomal RNA", at positions 524 to 776 of the family's 1533-position model. Lineage: Bacteria; Pseudomonadati; Pseudomonadota; Alphaproteobacteria; Candidatus Pelagibacterales. The record is from RNAcentral.
UACGAAGGGACCUAGCGUAGUUCGGAAUUACUGGGCUUAAAGAGUUCGUAGGUGGUUAAAAAAGUUGGUGGUGAAAUCCCAGAGCUUAACUCUGGAACUGCCAUCAAAACUUUUUAGCUAGAGUAUGAUAGAGGAAAGCAGAAUUUCUAGUGUAGAGGUGAAAUUCGUAGAUAUUAGAAAGAAUACCAAUUGCGAAGGCAGCUUUCUGGAUCAUUACUGACGCUGAGGAACGAAAGCAUGGGUAGCGAAGAGG